GAGCUUGCUCUUCUGGAUGAGUUGCGAACGGGUGAGUAACGCGUAGGUAACCUGCCUGGUAGCGGGGGAUAACUAUUGGAAACGAUAGCUAAUACCGCAUAACAGUAGAUGUUGCAUGACAUUUGCUUAAAAGGUGCAAUUGCAUCACUACCAGAUGGACCUGCGUUGUAUUAGCUAGUUGGUGGGGUAACGGCUCACCAAGGCGACGAUACAUAGCCGACCUGAGAGGGUGAUCGGCCACACUGGGACUGAGACACGGCCCAGACUCCUACGGGAGGCAGCAGUAGGGAAUCUUCGGCAAUGGACGGAAGUCUGACCGAGCAACGCCGCGUGAGUGAAGAAGGUUUUCGGAUCGUAAAGCUCUGUUGUAAGAGAAGAACGAGUGUGAGAGUGGAAAGUUCACACUGUGACGGUAUCUUACCAGAAAGGGACGGCUAACUACGUGCCAGCAGCCGCGGUAAUACGUAGGUCCCGAGCGUUGUCCGGAUUUAUUGGGCGUAAAGCGAGCGCAGGCGGUUAGAUAAGUCUGAAGUUAAAGGCUGUGGCUUAACCAUAGUACGCUUUGGAAACUGUUUAACUUGAGUGCAAGAGGGGAGAGUGGAAUUCCAUGUGUAGCGGUGAAAUGCGUAGAUAUAUGGAGGAACACCGGUGGCGAA
Molecule: ribosomal RNA, 656 nt
Filed under: uncultured Bacilli bacterium
Lineage: Bacteria; Bacillati; Bacillota; Bacilli
Description: bacterial SSU rRNA
Rfam family: Bacterial small subunit ribosomal RNA
Source: RNAcentral